GGCGAACGCUGGCGGCAGGCCUAACACAUGCAAGUCGGACGAACCUUUCGGGGUUAGUGGCGGACGGGUGAGUAACACGUGGGAACGUGCCUUUAGGUUCGGAAUAACUCAGGGAAACUUGUGCUAAUACCGAAUGUGCCCUUCGGGGGAAAGAUUUAUCGCCUUUAGAGCGGCCCGCGUCUGAUUAGCUAGUUGGUUGAGGUAAUGGCUCACCAAGGCGACGAUCAGUAGCUGGUCUGAGAGGAUGAUCAGCCACAUUGGGACUGAGACACGGCCCAAACUCCUACGGGAGGCAGCAGUGGGGAAUCUUGCGCAAUGGGCGAAAGCCUGACGCAGCCAUGCCGCGUGAAUGAUGAAGGUCUUAGGAUUGUAAAAUUCUUUCACCGGGGACGAUAAUGACGGUACCCGGAGAAGAAGCCCCGGCUAACUUCGUG
RNAcentral lists this ribosomal RNA (434 nucleotides) under uncultured bacterium. RNAcentral describes it as "partial 16S ribosomal RNA". It matches the Rfam family "Bacterial small subunit ribosomal RNA", at positions 28 to 507 of the family's 1533-position model. The record is from RNAcentral.